Molecule: ribosomal RNA, 470 nt
Filed under: uncultured organism
Description: partial 16S ribosomal RNA
Rfam family: Bacterial small subunit ribosomal RNA
Source: RNAcentral
UACGGGAGGCAGCAGUGGGGAAUAUUGCACAAUGGGCGCAAGCCUGAUGCAGCCAUGCCGCGUGUAUGAAGAAGGCCUUCGGGUUGUAAAGUACUUUCAGCGGGGAGGAAGGCAAUACGGUUAAUAACCGUGUUGAUUGACGUUACCCGCAGAAGAAGCACCGGCUAACUCCGUGCCAGCAGCCGCGGUAAUACGGAGGGUGCAAGCGUUAAUCGGAAUUACUGGGCGUAAAGCGCACGCAGGCGGUCUGUCAAGUCGGAUGUGGAAUCCCCGGGCUCAACCUGGGAACUGCAUUCGAAACUGGCAGGCUUGAGUCUUGUAGAGGGGGGUAGAAUUCCAGGUGUAGCGGUGAAAUGCGUAGAGAUCUGGAGGAAUACCGGUGGCGAAGGCGGCCCCCUGGACAAAGACUGACGCUCAGGUGCGAAAGCGUGGGGAGCAAACAGGAUUAGAUACCCCUGUAGUCCCAUGAU